Alnus glutinosa is the source of this 115-nucleotide small nucleolar RNA. RefSeq annotates it as small nucleolar RNA Z278. The transcript has a single exon. The record is from RefSeq and is a predicted model, not a curated record. NCBI's taxonomy places the organism in Eukaryota, Viridiplantae, Streptophyta, Magnoliopsida, Fagales, Betulaceae.
GUCAAUGAUGAUUUGUCCAGGGUUUGAGAUUAGUUAGUUUCAAGACCCUGUCUUCAGAGAGAACCUCAUUGAGGCUGCUAAAUCAUAAUACGAAUUUACUGGACCAUUCUGAGAU